UCCGAAUGGGGAAACCCACUGCUUCGGCAGUAUCCUGCAGUGAAUUCAUAGCUGCUGGAAGCGAACCCGGUGAACUGAAAUAUCUAAGUAACCGGAGGAAAAGAAAUCAACCGAGAUUCCCUAAGUAGUGACGAGCGAACGGGGACUAGCCCUUAAGCUGGUAUGGUUUUAGAAAAACAACCUGGAAAGGUUGGCCAUAGAAGGUGAUAGCCCUGUAUUUAAAAGGGCCAUACCAGUGAAGACGAGUAGGGCGGGGCACGUGAAACCCUGUCUGAACAUGGGGGGACCAUCCUCCAAGGCUAAAUACUCCUGACCGACCGAUAGUGAACCAGUACCGUGAGGGAAAGGCGAAAAGAACCCCGGAGAGGGGAGUGAAAUAGAUCCUGAAACCGUGUGCGUACAAGCAGUAGGAGCUCGUAAGAGUGACUGCGUACCUUUUGUAUAAUGGGUCAGCGACUUACUGUUCGUGGCAAGCUUAACCGUAUAGGGGAGGCGAAGGGAAACCGAGUCUGAUAAGGGCGCAUAGUCGCGGGCAGUAGACCCGAAACCGGGUGAUCUAGUCAUGCCCAGGGUGAAGGUCAGGUAACACUGACUGGAGGCCCGAACCCACUCCCGUUGCAAAGGUAGGGGAUGAGGUGUGAUUAGGAGUGAAAAGCUAAUCGAACCCGGAGAUAGCUGGUUCUCCUCGAAAGCUAUUUAGGUAGCGCCUCAUAUGUAUCCUCUCGGGGGUAGAGCACUGUUAUGGCUAGGGGGUCAUCGCGACUUACCAAACCAUUGCAAACUCCGAAUACCGAGACGGACUGUAUGGGAGACACACGGCGGGUGCUAACGUCCGUCGUGAAAAGGGAAACAACCCAGACCCACAGCUAAGGUCCCAAAUUCACUGCUAAGUGGAAAACGAUGUGGAAAGGCAUAGACAGCCAGGAGGUUGGCUUAGAAGCAGCCACCCUUUAAAGAAAGCGUAAUAGCUCACUGGUCGAGUCGGUCUGCGCGGAAGAUUUAACGGGGCUAAGCAGUGAACCGAAGCUUGGGGUGCAUCGCGUUAAGCGAUGCGCGGUAGAGGAGCGUUCCGUAAGCCUGCGAAGGUGGAUUGAGAAGUCUGCUGGAGGUAUCGGAAGUGCGAAUGCUGACAUGAGUAACGAUAAUGCGGGUGAAAAACCCGCACGCCGAAAGCCCAAGGUUUCCUUGCGCAACGUUAAUCGGCGCAGGGUGAGUCGGCCCCUAAGGCGAGGGCGAAAGCCGUAGUCGAUGGGAAGCAGGUUAAUAUUCCUGCACCUCGCGUAAGUGCGAUGGAGGGACGGAGAAGGUUAGGUGUACCGGGCGUUGGUUGUCCCGGGGAAAGGCGGUAGGUUUGGAUCCUUGGCAAAUCCGGGGUCCUUUAAGACCGAGCACCGAGACGAGUCUUUGAGACGAAGUCACUGAUACCACGCUUCCAGGAAAAGCUCCUAAGCUUCAGCUUACGCAGACCGUACCGUAAACCGACACAGGUGGGUAGGAUGAGAAUUCUCAGGCGCUUGAGAGAACUCGGGUGAAGGAACUAGGCAACAUGGCACCGUAACUUCGGGAGAAGGUGCACCCUUUUUGGUGGCUCGUGCGAGCUAUAGCUGAAGAGGGUCGCAGAAACCAGGCCGCUGCGACUGUUUAUCAAAAACACAGCACUCUGCAAACACGAAAGUGGACGUAUAGGGUGUGACGCCUGCCCGGUGCUGGAAGGUUAAUUGAUGGGGUCAGCCGCAAGGCGAAGCUCUUGAUCGAAGCCCCAGUAAACGGCGGCCGUAACUAUAACGGUCCUAAGGUAGCGAAAUUCCUUGUCGGGUAAGUUCCGACCUGCACGAAUGGCGUAACGACAGCGGCGCUGUCUCCACCCGAGACUCAGUGAAAUUGAAAUCGCUGUGAAGAUGCAGCGUUCCCGUGGCAAGACGGAAAGACCCCGUGAACCUUUACUAUAGCUUUACACUGAACGUUGAGUUCGUCUGUGUAGGAUAGGUGGGAGGCUAUGAAACCAUGGCGCUAGCUGUGGUGGAGCCAUCCUUGAAAUACCACCCUGUCGUGCUUGACGUUCUAACCUAGGUCCGUAAUCCGGAUCGGGGACCGUGUAUGGUGGGUAGUUUGACUGGGGCGGUCUCCUCCUAAAGAGUAACGGAGGAGCACGAAGGUACGCUCAGCGCGGUCGGACAUCGCGCACUGUGUGCAAAGGCAUAAGCGUGCUUGACUGCAAGAUCGACGGAUCAAGCAGGUACGAAAGUAGGUCUUAGUGAUCCGGUGGUUCUGUAUGGAAGGGCCAUCGCUCAACGGAUAAAAGGUACUCCGGGGAUAACAGGCUGAUACCGCCCAAGAGUUCAUAUCGACGGCGGUGUUUGGCACCUCGAUGUCGGCUCAUCACAUCCUGGGGCUGUAGUCGGUCCCAAGGGUAUGGCUGUUCGCCAUUUAAAGUGGUACGCGAGCUGGGUUCAGAACGUCGUGAGACAGUUCGGUCCCUAUCUGCCAUGGGCGUUGGAGAUUUGAGAGGGGCUGCUCCUAGUACGAGAGGACCGGAGUGGACGAACCUCUGGUGUUCCGGUUGUCACGCCAGUGGCAUUGCCGGGUAGCUAUGUUCGGAAGCGAUAACCGCUGAAAGCAUCUAAGCGGGAAGCGCGCCUCAAGAUGAGAUCUCCCGGGACACAAGUCCCCUAAAGGAACCAUGUAGACUACGUGGUUGAUAGGUCAGGUGUGU
RNAcentral lists this ribosomal RNA (2713 nucleotides) under Xanthomonas albilineans. RNAcentral's name for it is "bacterial LSU rRNA". It matches the Rfam family "Bacterial large subunit ribosomal RNA". The record is from RNAcentral. Lineage: Bacteria; Pseudomonadati; Pseudomonadota; Gammaproteobacteria; Lysobacterales; Lysobacteraceae.